AAAGUAAGAAGCGAUAUAUUGCAAUCAAUUUCGACUUGAUCUUAGGUGAUUACAUCCUUACUUG
RNAcentral lists this transfer RNA (64 nucleotides) under Shoveliteratura triangula. RNAcentral describes it as "tRNA-Arg". The record is from RNAcentral. Lineage: Eukaryota; Metazoa; Arthropoda; Insecta; Orthoptera; Tettigoniidae.